Molecule: long non-coding RNA, 5036 nt
Organism: Oncorhynchus kisutch (coho salmon)
Lineage: Eukaryota; Metazoa; Chordata; Actinopteri; Salmoniformes; Salmonidae
Source: Ensembl
AUAUCGUAUGAACAGGCAGCAUGGAGUAAUAAAGUAUUUCUAUCCCUCCAUCCGUCGCAUACUCUCUCUCUCUCUCUCUCUCUCUCUCCCCUCUCUCUCUCUCUCUCUCUCUCUCUGUCUCUCUCUCUGUCUCUUUCUCUCUUUCUCUUUCUCUCUCUCUCUCUCUCCCUCUCCCUCUCCCUCAUUCUCUCCCUCCCUCUCUCCCUCUCUCUCUCUCUCUCUCUCUCUCUCUCUCUCUCUCUCUCUCUCUCUCUCUCUCUCUCUCUCUCUCUCUCUCUCUCUCUCUCUCUCUUUCUCUCUCUCUCUCUCUCUCUCCCUCUCUCCCUCUCUCUCUCUCUCUCUCUCUCCCUCUCUUUCUCUCUCUCUCUCUCUCUCUCUCUCUCUCUCCCUCUAUCUCUCUCAUUCUCUCUCUCUCUCUCUCUCUCCCUCUCAUUCUCAUUCUCUCUCGCUCUCUCUCUCUCUCUCACUCAUUCUCUCUCACACUCAUUCUCUCUAUCUCUCUCUCUCUCUCUCUCUCUCUCUCUCUCUCUCUCUCUCUCUCUCACAUUGGGCUUCGCAGACUACGCCAUCAAAACACAAACAUAUUACACACUCUCAGGCGUGUUCCCUGGCUCGCGUUCCCUCUCUCUCACACAGUCUCUCAUAAAGGAGGCAAAGGAACGCAAGAGAUGCAGACACAAGAAAGCAUGUCUUCAGACUCCCUGUCAGACGUGCGGGGUCCCCCAGCCUACUGGAUGUUGUGUGGUCACCCCUAUGACGAGAGGACCGUGUGGAACCCCAAGUUCUGUGUGGUCACUGACUGUCAGAUGCUGCUCCUGGACAAAGAGGAGAAGUUUUUGUUUCAGGAGCGGAGGUCAGAUUCAUGUAAGGUCCGACAGCUGAGACGCACCAUCAGCGUUCCCGUAGAAACCAACUUUCACAGCCCAGAGUUCCACAGCCAGCUGUCCAUCGAGAGCAUCCCCUGCAGUCUCCAACCCUGCAGUCUCCAACCCUGCAGUCCCCUGCAGUCUCCAACCCUGCAGUCCCCUGCAGUCUCCAACCCUGCAGUCUCCAACCCUGCAGUCCCCUGCAGUCUCCAACCCUGCAGUCUCCAACCCUGCAGUCUCCAACCCUGCAGUCCCCUGCAGUCUCCAACCAUGCAGUCCCCUGCAGUCUCCAACCCUGCAGUCUCCAACCCUGCAGUCCCCUGCAGUCUCCAACCCUGCAGUCUCCAACCCUGCAGUCCCCUGCAGUCUCCAACCCUGCAGUCCCCUGCAGUCUCCAACCCUGCAGUCUCCAACCCUGCAGUCUCCAACCCUGCAGUCCCCUGCAGUCUCCAACCAUGCAGUCCCCUGCAGUGUCCAACCCUGCAGGCCCCAACACUGCAGUCCCCUGCAUUCUCCAACCCUGCAUUCUCCAACCCUGCAGUCACCUGCAAUCCCCUGCAUUCUCCAACCCUGCAGUCUCCAAACCUGCAAUCUCCAACCAUGCAGUCUCCAACCCUACAGUCUCCAAUCUUGCAGUCUCCAACCUGUAGAGUGACAGACUGUAGCACUUAGCAACAGCCCACUAUAAAUUCUGUAAACCCUAUAAACACCCACCCUAUUGGCCCAAGACACUCAUAAAUAAAAUAAAAAUGAAUGUUUUUAGCGCAAACUCUCUACGAUAUUACUAUCGUACCUCUUUAUUUGUUCUAACGCGACACUCUGGAGAAGAUAGAAUUUGGACUAAACAGCUAACACAAAACCACUGCAGCCAACCCAGUCCAGUCCCUCUCUCACAUGCAGGUCCAACAAGUCGUAAUAACAAGCUUCUCUUUUGCUAUUGUUUAUCCUUGCUAGUGGGCUUAACUUGAUUCAUGAGGCCAGGGCAGCUUCCACUUAUAGAAGCAGCUGAUCCAUCUGAACUGUUGGCAACUACACAAUGAGAUUAAUAUCAAACAUAUUGGCUUUUGGACUUUAGGAAACGUGCACUUGUUGAGUUGAGGGGGAGCUACAUUCCACAGCUACAGAAAGUAAACCUAACCUAUGAUUGUGGACUAGCUUUUCCUGACCAGUGACCACAUGACCUGACAAGAAAACACUCCCUGCCCAUGAGGCUGGUGGCCUGAGGUUACCAUCUUAGAAUAGCUAAAACAUCACAAGACACACUUGACAACCCAUCCCAGCUUCGCUCAUGUUCCUUUCUCAUCUUUAUUUAACCUUUUGGGAUUGCUUCAUGCCUCACAUUGUCCCUGGGAUGCUAGAGUUUUGGAAGGGAAAGAGGCGAGUGUCAAUCGGAGACUAAUCUUUGUGACAUAUUUUCAUGUUUUCCUUACUAGUGAUUGUGAUCUGUAAUUUGUCAUUUAUUUGAAGUGUAAAUGGACACCUGCUGGUUUGGGAGCCUGGCAGUAAAUUACUGUUUGAACAUUUUCUUUGCACCCUGCAGAUUUCAGAGUAAGAUGGAGUAAGAAGUAACUACAAACGUUUUCGAACUUCACUGACAGAGAGGCUGAGGAGAGAAAUUGAGAGAGAGAGAGAGAGAGACAGACAGACAGACAGAGACAGAGAGAGAGACACACAGACAGACAGAGAGAGAGAGAGAGACAUAUAGGGAGAGAGAGAGAGACAUAUAGGGAGAGAGAGAGAGAGACAUAUAUAUAUAGAGAGAGAGACAGACAGACAGACAGACAGACAGACAGACAGACAGACAGACAGACAGACAGACAGACAGACAGACAGACAGACAGACAGACAGAGAGGGACGGACGGGGGAGACUGACAGAGAGGGACGGACGGGGGGAGACCGACAGGGAGAGAGAGAGAGAGAGAGAGAGAGAGGGAGAGAGAGAGAGAGAGAGAGAGAGAGAGAGAGAGGGAGAGAGGGAGAGAGAGAGAGAGACAGGGAGAGAGAGAGAGAGAGAGAGAGAGAGAGAGAGAGAGAGAGAGACAGACAGACAGACAGACAGACAGACAGACAGACAGACAGACAGACAGACAGACAGACAGACAGACAGACAGAGAGAGAGAGAGACAGACAGACAGAGAGGGAGACAGACAGACAGACAGACAGAGAGGGACGGACGGACGGACGGGCGGGGGGAGACUGACAGAGAGGGACGGACGGGGGGAGACCGACAGGGAGGGAGAGAGAGAGAGACAGAGAGAGAGAGAGGGAGAGAGAAUUGGCAAGAGAAAAAAAAAACAUUAUUGGCCCAAUAGUUCCAUCUUCCCAGUUUCUCUCCUGGAACUCUGAGGUCUUCAAGAACACCCUUAAGACCUUCAUCCCUACUCGAGCCCACUGUAGCCCCCCAGGAAGACCAUGAGAUCCUGCUCUGGCCCACUGUAGUCCCCCAGGAAGACUAUAAGAUCCUGCUCUGACCCACUAUAGCCCCCCAGGAAGACUAGGAGAUCCUGCUCUGACCCACUAUAGGCCCCAAGGAAGACUAGGAGAUCCUGCUCUGGCCCACUGUAGCCCCCCAGGAAGACUAGGAGAUCCUGCUCUGGCCCACUGUAGCCCCCCACAAAGACUAGGAGAUCCUGCUAUGAGCCACUGUAGCCCCCCAGGAAGACUAGGAGAUCCUGCUCUGACCCACUGUAGCCCCCCAGGAAGACUAGGAGAUCCUGCUCUGACCCAUCUCCCCGUAAUCAGACCCUCACUCUUCUCUCAGUUCACCUUAGUUGAUACCACCCCCUCAAACACUAGAACCCUGCUAACCUCUUCUUCAUCUCCCUCCCCUUUAACAAACACUGUUACAUCCUCAACAUAAGCCGUCUCCCCACCUACUGCCCUUGGAACUGACAACCUCUGCAGCCUCUCCCUCAGCCUACACAGCUGUGGUUCUAUGUCUAAACAGUAGAGAUGACCCGAGAGUGGACACCCCUGCCGAAUCCCUCUACUAACUGAGACUGGCCGGCUCAGCCUACCCCCCACUUUUACCAUAUCAGAAGCCCCCAGAGUACAGUAGCUUGACCUAUGAUUUUAAACCCGCUACCCAGGCCAACAAUUCCAUGGUUUUAAACAGAUAGAUAUGAGUCACAUGACACACUCUAUCAAAAUCUAUCAGAUCCUGAUCAUACAUUGUGUUGAUGUCUAUCACAUCUCUCAAAAUAAACAAGUUUUCCAUGAUUUUCUGCCCAGGCAUAUAGUAUGCCUGGUCCCUGUGAACUAUGGUGUCCAAACAACCUUUCAGCCGAUUUGCUUGAACAAUAUUUUCUAAUCCAAGAAGAGCAACGACAUCCGCCUGCAGUUCUUUAAUGGAGUUAAGUCCCCCUUUCUCAGCAGUAGAGACAGUACUUCCCGCUAGCAGCUGAUUGGUAGUACAGAGUUCUCAAAGGACUCCCGAAAGAUCUCCAAGAGGUCCCUCCCAGUACACCACAGGAACGUUUAUAAAACUCAGCUGUUAGUCCAUCGACCCUCAGCGCACGGCCUGCUGCUGUUAGUUCCUGAAAUGAAAGAUCACUAUCCAGCCCAGCACUCUGGCUCAAGCAAAGGCAACGUCUGCAGAGCUGAGCACACUGAGGAUGAUUGUUGCAGUCUCCGUAGAGGUCUGACUUCUAGUCAAUAGUCACCCUCGUCAUCUCCGCUGGAUUCGAGAUCAGACAACUCGAGUGACGCCGUAGAUGGAACAUCUGCUUCUGCUGCGCCGACUUCCUCUCCAGGUUGAAGAAAAACGCACUCGAAGCAUCCAUGUCUGUCAGGGUGGCAAUCCGUGCUCUAAUAAGUGCCCCCUUCACCUGAUCCUGUAAAAAAGAACCCAUCUGCGUCUGCUUAGCCCUAACUCCCUCUCUGACACUGAGUUCUGCUGCCCAGUAAGGCAGAAAUGUCUCUACUAUCCUUCUCUAACCUCUGCCAAGUAGACCUUAUCCUAGCUGUCCCAUCGGCAGAGUACUGCUGGCAAAACACCCUUAUUUGUUUUCACCACAUUCCACCAUUGUCUCAAACUCAGCUUUCCUCCCUUUCCAAGUCUCAACAAAUAAUCUCAAAUCAAAUCAACGUUUAUUUGUGUGCCCCGAAUACAACAGGUGUAGACCUUACUGUGAAAUGCUUACUUACAGGCUCUAACCAAUGGUGCGAGA